Molecule: ribosomal RNA, 789 nt
Filed under: Triticum aestivum (bread wheat)
Lineage: Eukaryota; Viridiplantae; Streptophyta; Magnoliopsida; Poales; Poaceae
Description: partial small subunit ribosomal RNA
Source: RNAcentral
AUGAAAGAUCCAACAAGGAAGCCACAACGGUCAAAUGAUCCGGGAUGGAACUAUGGAUAUUGGUCUGAGCCUCCAAAUCGGGAUCUUGUUGUGUGCGCUCUUUGUGGUAAGAUAAUUUCUGGAGGGAUCAAGAGGCAUAAAGAGCAUCUUGCGGGCGUCGGGGGAGAUGCAAUUGGUUGUCCUAAGGCCACCACACAAUUGAGGAGAGAAAUGGGAACAUAUUUGGAGCAAAAUAGGAGGAUCAAGGGAGUAGUAGAUGUAGAUGAUGUUCAGGAGGUUGUGGAGGUGAGUUCAGUUGGAGCAAACAUUGCCUCUAAAAGGCCAAGCUCAGGGACAGCAGCCAAACAGAAUAAGAAAGUGUUUAUCACCAACAUGCAAGGUAAAAAGAAGUCUGUUUCUGUUGUGUCUGCCGCCAAUAGUUCCAAGCCAAUUGUUGCCAUGCUACGAAGAACACCCGAGGAUCUUGUAGAUGAAAGACGCUCUGGGUGUUCUCAAAGCACCAUGGAGUCCAGCACAAAGACUCCAGAAGAGAGGCAGUAUGUCAAUAUGCAGUGGGCAUUGUUCUUUUACGAGUGUGGCAUUCCAUUCAACGCUGCAAGUAGUAGGCAGUUUGAGGUUGCAAUUGAAGCCUCUUGUCAAUAUGGGUCAGGUUACAAGCCUCCUAGUGCACAUGAGCUGAGAGAGAAAUUGCUUAAUGAUUGUGUGAAGGAAACAGGACUUUUGAGGAGGCAACACGAGGCAGCAUGGAAAAAAUAUGGAUGCACACUCAUGUCGGAUGGCUGGUCGGAU